This 2183-nucleotide long non-coding RNA is filed under the name Salvia miltiorrhiza (redroot sage). Its description in RNAcentral is "long non-coding RNA (SMIL_LNC002533)". The record is from RNAcentral. Lineage: Eukaryota; Viridiplantae; Streptophyta; Magnoliopsida; Lamiales; Lamiaceae.
GCCCACAGAGGUGCUAUACAAGAACACAAGACAUAGCAGAUAAGACUAACCUAACACAUAAACAACAAGGUCAAACAUUCUGUAGAACUUUUUCAAUCUAAUACCACCAUCCAGAAGGAGAGAAAUUGUAUCAAGAACAAUAAUUUUUUUGCCGCCUAUAUCUGAAAAUGGAGUCAUUAUAUUCUGCAUAUCCCACAUUUGAAAAUGAACAGCCGCAGUCACCAACAAAUACAUUCUUUGAGAAAAAUAAUAUGCCAAUACUCCAACGUUAAUGAUAUAUGCAUUCCUUACACUAAGAGAAAGAAGACCAACUAUCUUCAUCAGAAGCAAGCAACAAUUGCAACAUCGAGAUUCCACAAAACAGAGCACCUCCUUCUAACUGAAUCCGAGAAACUGCAAGGUCAUGCAUAGAAAAAUCAGCCGCAGAACCUAAAGGACGUCAUCACUUAAUGGAAAUAACAAUUAAUUCUUGUUAUUCUAAGGCACAUUGUAGAUUCAUAUCAAAAACCAAGUCUCAAACAUCUAUAAUCGAUUAGAAUUUUCUUUUCAGUUUUGAUUAUAAUAGAAAUUAUGAAUCCAAUAACUUUCUAGAAAGCAAGAAGACUGUGUUAGCUUGAUAGCAUCUCAUGAUACGAUUAAAACAAACAUAACUCGAACGCGCAUCUAAAUGCUCAGUCAAUGUAACAAGUAACAAUGUAGGAAACAUCUAACAAAUUGCAAAAGCUUCUAACUAACACCACAAAAUCAAAACCUGUGCUUCUGCUAUCAACUAAGCCGAAACGAUCAUCACAUUUCCCCCCAAAAUAAUCAAACACUGUAAUUUUUAUUUUAUUUUUCAUUACAAUAAAUGAUGUAGGUUGCUGGAGAAGAAAUAUUGAACAAACAACGAAGAAAAAAGAAGAAGCUUACUCUCUAAGCUCAUCAGCAAUGAGCUCAUCAUUUCUGAAAACUUCGAAUUCACAACCUAGCUCUGCCAUAAAAUGUGGAACACCAAAUGAGUAGCAAAAAAUAAAAUCGAAACAUUAUUAUAUCUUAUGCAAUGUAAUUAAGAAUAAUGAAUCUAUAAAAUAACGAAAGAAAUUGAUAAGAAAAAUACUUAUCUGGCCAUUUAAUUAUAUAAACUCGCAUCUAUUGCUAUCCACAAAUACCCACUAUAGAAUAUUAGAGGAAAGCUAGUGAAAUAUCUUACCCUAAUCCGUAGACGGUCAGCAACCUCAGAUUGUUCAUCAUAUACCUCAUCAAUUAACUGCAACAGUUCACAGAAGAAACAAGAAGUUCACAAACAUUAAAUAUCUUCGUGAUAAUCGAAAAAUCAAAAAUAUUGCAAGGUUCAAGAACAAGAAUUUCAUAAGUAUAAAAUAUCUAUGUGAUAAGAUAAAAAUAUAUUUUUAUUCAUUUGUAGAUACAGUCACAUUGUGCUUCAGAAAAAUAAGGGGAGCAUCUUGAUCACCAGAUCCCUUGUAGUUUGCAAAGCCCUGUUCUAUUAUAUAGAUGAUAGAUGUGUGAGGAGCAAACCUGAAAUCAUCACACUCCUGCUCCGUCACUGGACUCUUACACACAACUUAGUUUUCUGUUCAUCAACAAUCUUCUCGAGCUAAANAAAAGCAACAAUUUGUUCAAUCUUCUGACAGCCAUACCCAGCACCAGGUACAUUUCUUUCUAAGGUUUAGCUUGACAUUUCAUCGAAUAGUUGGUGUACUAAUCAAUUCAUAUUUUGUUCAAUCUCCAUAGUUAAUACAACUACCAAUUUGCCUAGAUUUAUCACUUAAUUAAAAAACUACAUUAGAAUUUUCACUAACCAUCAAAUUAUCCUUCCCUUAGCAGCCGCAUGAGCAGAGCUCAAUUUUCUUCUUUUUUUUGCCUUUGUGUAAUUUGCUUCACCGGCGUUCAGUUUCCUGAGCCUCUGCCUCUGAAUUGUUUCCAUCUGCACAAAUAAGUCGAAGUUCUCCAUCAACAAAUGACUGCAUUCCAGACUCAAAAUAUAUAAAAGAUUUAUUAGUCACCCUAUUCACUUUGUGGCGGGGAAUGUCGUGCCGAUCAAUCAGAUUGAUUUUGAGGUCAUCUGCAAAUAGAAUCUAGAAACUAGAGAGAGAGAGCUUACCGGAGGUGGGAUGGUGAACGGCAGCCGCGAAAGAGAAGAACGACAGCCUUGACUAGGGCUUUUAAUUUGGGGAUGAGAAAUA